Vigna unguiculata (cowpea) is the source of this 624-nucleotide long non-coding RNA. The record is from RefSeq and is a predicted model, not a curated record. Lineage: Eukaryota; Viridiplantae; Streptophyta; Magnoliopsida; Fabales; Fabaceae.
GCGGCACAGCACGAAAUUAGGGUUUAGCAUUCCAUUUAGCUAUCUAUAAAAUCGUGGCACCACUCCUCAUGCCCAUAUCUUCCUUCUCUUCCGUCUUUGAAAUUGGCGGAGGAGCCUUAUCGUCACUGGUUUCAUUUUGGCGAAGAUAUGGGAAGAACUCGCGAUGCUCAUACAAUUCGAGGAGAGAGAUCUAACCAAGUUCAAGGAGAGAGUUCUUAACAUUUUUACUAUGGCAAGGCAAGAGUAAUAAGGAUGGUGGAAUGAAGAUGAUUGAAUUGUUGUUGGUGAUUUUUCGUUGAGGUGAUGGAUCUGUGAUGGCUUUUGCAGGUGAAUGGUGUUGAGUUGUAACAUAGGAGUCUUUGUAUUUUUUUUUGUUUUUUUGGAUUGAUAGAUUGUUAUCUGGGAAUGGUGUAGUGUGUGAUGUUGGGUCUGUGAUUUUUUUUUUUUGUUUAAAACACGAGGCUAAGAUCAUGGAGGGGGUUGAAAUUAAAGAAAGGUGACGUAAAUCUUAUAGUAAUCUUUUUCUCUUAUAGGGAUGACAUUAGUAUCCUAUAUGUAUAUUUUUUUCCAAGAUCUUUACAAGACCAAUUUUUACACUUGAAUCAAGGAAAAAGAUUUUUGUUA